UGCCUCAGCGAGUGGGCACGUGAGGCAGGAGGAUGAGAGAGAGAGAGAGGAAGGAAGGGCUCCCGGUGGCGGCUCUGCACUGGAUCCGCCGAGCUCGGCCCCGGCUGCUCCGCUUCUGGAGCCCUGAAUUAUUACAGCUGGCGUAGCGUGAAGGCGCUUUGAAAUGUGCGGGACUGAAGUGCGGCCGAGCGGCGCCGAGCACCCCCUCCAGCAGCACCAGUGGCAGCAGUAGAAGAAGAGCGGGCGCUCUGGAGCGCAGUUGGAGGACCGACGACGCAUAUAAACAACGCCGGGCUCGGGAGCGGUCGCUAGUGUGGAGCUGCUCCCCGUCUGGCGGCCGGUCGCGUGCGGGGGGCUCGCGGAGCUGCCGGUGAGCGAGCGGAGGCGCCGUCGCCGGUGCCGCUGUCCGAGGUGCUGAACGGCCGCACGCCGAGGAGCCCGCCUUUGUUCGCGUCGUUGCCAGGCGAGGCGACGCGCACGAGCCGCCGCGGACGCCGUGCGGCUCGACACGGGGCGCAGCGCCCCGGCGGCGAACGCGGCGCCCCCCGGCCAGAGUAAAUGGGACCGCACGUCGUCCGAGCGGUCGAAAUAUGGAGAGAUUUGUCCUGCUCGUUCUCGGCUGCCUCGGCGUCCCUCGAGUCACAGCGGGCAGCUGCUACAAACGACUGCACGCACCUACAGGUACCGCCUCGACCUUAACCUGUCGCCUCCCAGCUGAGUGUUGACCUGAGCUGUCGAUCAGCGUGAGAACAGGGAUGUGGCACACAUCAACAUGUGAGCCGUCCGCACGGACGCUGACUGUCUGUCGGCGGCUGGCGAAGCCCGCUACCCACGGGGCCCAAAACCUGACUGUAACGGGCUGCCGCGGGCCACGAACGCAGCGCUGCGCUGCUGGGCAGCGCCGGUGAUCCUCUCACGCAGGCAGAUCCAUGGAAACGCCACCGAUGCGUGUUACGCUGGCGAGAGAGAGAGGGAGAGAGAGAGAGAGAGAGAGAGAGCCUUCGCUCGCCCCUGCACACAUGCUGCUUGUGUUGCAUCUAUAAAACAUGCUUUUUUAGACACUAAGGUGCACACAAACUAUGAGCACUUACUAUGAUGGAGUGCCACACGUGGGUCAUAAACCCCCCCCCCCCCCCCCUCUGGUUCAGUCGCCGCCCACACACUCCUCAAUCUUUCCCCCCUACAAUAAGUCACCGUGUUAUUCUCUUACUCAUCACUUAUAUUUACUGCGAUCCAGGCUACUGACACCUACAAUUUUCUUGUGUUCUCUGUUGGUUUUGGGUGUGUGUUUUCGAUCAGUUGGGAAUAAAGGACUGUUUGUACAGUAAUAGAGGUUAAAAGACGCGUGUGCAGCAAAGAGAUGGUAAUAUGACUCCAGCCAAGCUUUCAUCAGACGUUGGAGCAUGUUUAUGGGCUUAUAAACAGCACGUAUCAUGUGUGUACUGUGCGUUGUGGG
Molecule: long non-coding RNA, 1456 nt
Organism: Betta splendens (Siamese fighting fish)
Lineage: Eukaryota; Metazoa; Chordata; Actinopteri; Anabantiformes; Osphronemidae
Exons: 3
Source: RefSeq, a predicted model, not a curated record